This 148-nucleotide non-coding RNA is filed under the name Nomascus leucogenys (northern white-cheeked gibbon). The record is from Rfam by way of RNAcentral. Lineage: Eukaryota; Metazoa; Chordata; Mammalia; Primates; Hylobatidae.
GCUGGGUGUGGGGGCGCAUGCCUGUAAUCCCAGCUACUAGGGAGGCCGAGGUGGGGGAAUUGCUUGAGCCCAGGAAUUGGAGGCCGCAGUGAGCUAUGUUGGCUCCACUGCACUCCAGCCUGGGUGACGAAGCGAGACCCUGUCUCAA